AAUACAUCCAGCAGGGUCUCCUGUCGCCUUCUGCGUCGCCCUAUCAGCUGGAUCUGAUCGGUGUUGCAGAAGUCGUGCACAUGCUGCUGUUCAAUCGCCCGAUGAACGUGAAGCAGGAAAACUCGGCCUGGCGUUUAGAUGAAGGAUCUGGAUCUGAGCACAGCGUUCCCGUCGAGUCUUUAUGGAAAGACUUCUUCCACAUGAUUUUGAAUCCAGGACUAAAGUCUUCAGAGCUGGUUUUGUCUGAGCUCAUCAGUAUUGUGAGGAACAGCUUAUGGAGAUAUUGUCAUGUGUAAAAUAAUAACAGCAGCAGUGCAUAUGAAUGGUUGGAUUUAAAAUUUAUGUUUUACAUUGCUUUUUAUACACAUUUAAUAAACAA
Long non-coding RNA from Carassius auratus (goldfish), 379 nucleotides. RefSeq lists it as uncharacterized. Lineage: Eukaryota; Metazoa; Chordata; Actinopteri; Cypriniformes; Cyprinidae. The transcript is spliced from 3 exons. The record is from RefSeq and is a predicted model, not a curated record.